This 852-nucleotide long non-coding RNA is filed under the name Homo sapiens (human). Its description in RNAcentral is "non-protein coding lnc-MS4A8-17:5". The record is from RNAcentral. Lineage: Eukaryota; Metazoa; Chordata; Mammalia; Primates; Hominidae.
AGGGUGAGGGGCGCCACCGAGGAAGCGCCCACCGGGCUCCCGGGGCUGCCAGGCCCCAAAUUGAGGAAGUUGACUGCCAGAUCACACUCUGUUGGCCCACGCAGAUAGAUUCCAUUCAUCCUUUCUAAUGUCUACACCAUAUUUUGGAUAACAUGCCAUCAUCUCACAUUGUGUUGAAAGAAGAAACCAGAAUGUUGGGGUUGAUGUAUGCCAUAUGGAUGAAUUUAAACAGUUUCGGCCUUGCAAUAAUUGGUAUACUUCUAAUUGCAUGUGAAAUUAUACUCUUUUUAACGAAAGAUGAAACUAUUCAGUGGCCACAUGUACCCAGUAACAGAGGGAGCAAAGCAAAUCUUAUCCUCAAAGAACUGCAGCUGCUUGUUAGAUCUACCUGGUGGUUCCAUAGAGAAACUGCUCAGAGAACCUGCCUUUACCUCGCCUAAAACAGAACUAUCCCGGAGCUCAGCAAAGGAGUCCAUUCAUCCUCUAUAACUGCUAUACAAUAUCUCUGUUAAAAUGCUGAGAAGAUUUAUCCUAAAAGAAGGCACCAAAGCAAUGGGGUUCAUCAACUCAGGAUCCAGUAGUGUAAUACAGAAGCCUGUUACGAGAUAUAAGGCACUUUGCCCUCGGAAAUCUCACUGUCGGAAUCCUUGGAAAUCACACCACGCACAACUUCUAUUUCUUCAUAAUUUGCAAAGAACCAGUGUGACUCCAGUCAAGAACAAAAGAUUAAUUGUGAAUUAGCGAAGAACUCUAAUUUUUUCAAGCAGCCACAUGGAAAACGCAUUCUAAUGAAAUCCUUUCCAUUGCUCUUUUUUCUUAGUUCUUCAAUAAAGCAUGCGAUUUGAUCACAAA